Peromyscus maniculatus bairdii (prairie deer mouse) is the source of this 168-nucleotide small nuclear RNA. Its record names the gene U1. It matches the Rfam family "U1 spliceosomal RNA". From Rfam's summary of the family: U1 is a small nuclear RNA (snRNA) component of the spliceosome (involved in pre-mRNA splicing). Its 5' end forms complementary base pairs with the 5' splice junction, thus defining the 5' donor site of an intron. Lineage: Eukaryota; Metazoa; Chordata; Mammalia; Rodentia; Cricetidae. The record is from Ensembl.
ACCCUAACUAGACAAAUGAUAUAUGUUAUAAUCAUGAAGAUAGUUUUCCCAGGGGUGAGGCUUAUCCACUGAAUUCUAGAUGUGAUGACACCAGCGAUUUCCCCAAAUAUGGGAAACUCUGCUGCAUAAAUUCAUGGUAGUUGUGGACUUUAUUCAUACUCUCCUUUG